RNAcentral lists this ribosomal RNA (447 nucleotides) under uncultured bacterium. RNAcentral describes it as "partial 16S ribosomal RNA". It matches the Rfam family "Bacterial small subunit ribosomal RNA", at positions 29 to 523 of the family's 1533-position model. The record is from RNAcentral.
AACGAACGCUGGCGGCAGGCUUAACACAUGCAAGUCGAGCGCCCCGCAAGGGGAGCGGCAGACGGGUGAGUAACACGUGGGAAUCUACCCAUCCCUGCGGAACAACUCCGGGAAACUGGAGCUAAUACCGCAUACGCCCUUCGGGGGAAAGAUUUAUCGGGGAUGGAUGAGCCCGCGUUGGAUUAGCUAGUUGGUGGGGUAAAGGCCUACCAAGGCGACGAUCCAUAGCUGGUAUGAGAGGAUGAUCAGCCACAUUGGGACUGAGACACGGCCCAAACUCCUACGGGAGGCAGCAGUGGGGAAUAUUGGACAAUGGGCGCAAGCCUGAUCCAGCCAUGCCGCGUGAGUGAUGAAGGCCUUAGGGUUGUAAAGCUCUUUCACCGAUGAAGAUAAUGACGGUAGUCGGAGAAGAAGCCCCGGCUAACUUCGUGCCAGCCGCCGCGGUAA